Long non-coding RNA from Cyprinus carpio (common carp), 1423 nucleotides. RefSeq lists it as uncharacterized. NCBI's taxonomy places the organism in Eukaryota, Metazoa, Chordata, Actinopteri, Cypriniformes, Cyprinidae. The record is from RefSeq and is a predicted model, not a curated record. The transcript is spliced from 6 exons.
UGCACCUAUAUUCAGAAGCCAUUUCAAAAGCAAAUAUGCAUCAUAAUUUGGUCACUCAAAUGUUUUUCUCUGCAGUUAUGUGCAUAUGUUUGCGUUUACUGAAGAUGUUUCGAUGAUGAUGGAGAUAUAAAGCCCAUUAGUUCGUCAUCAUCGUUGUCAACACAUUAACUCCAACAUUAGCAGAGAUAACAGUAAUUGUCAACACUGGAAAGGGGUGUCAGGUAUAGAGGAGAAUGCUGACAGAUGAUAAUAUAUCUUCAUGAAUGAAUGUAUGAAAUAGACGCAGAAUAAUAUGUGGGAAAUCAGCUCCAUCAUCUGAGAGCCUUUGAUCUCGGGCCUUUGUUAGUUCAUUGCCACGGAUUCUGAGUGAUUUGGGAAGGAUGCCCCGCGAGACUCGCCAGAAUUUGGUGUAAACCUCAAAGGAGCACCUUGCGGAGUGCGAUAAGACUGUAUCAGUGAGCCAGCGACCCCGGGUUCAUCCAUCAGACAGGGAUGAGAGCCACUGGGUGUACUAGUGCAGUUUGGCAGACACUACCACCAUGACAGCUUCCUCCCACGUUUGCUCAAUCCAAUAUAAAUCUGCUCUAAAUUUACUCGCAUUAUUUCCAGGUGUUAAUAAUAAACACACAGGCCAAGAACAUUACAUUCAAGAUGCAGGCUAACUCUCUCCUUCUCAUGGGGGACUCAAAUUGACCCUUCACGCUUAAGGUGCAUAAAAUGUUCACUAGAUAGAGCUAUUCACUAAGCUACUCCUUCAUUUGCGUCCCAUCUUCAGUCCGUAUAAGGUCGUGCAGUUUGUCUUCACUGAAGAGAGGAGCUUUAUGGAAAGUUGUUUUCACAAGGAAGACAUUUUUCCACUUAAACCAGGUCACGCCACCCCUCCCCUCCUGACAUAUUUGCCUUGUGCAACCUACAUGUUUUUGCGCCAAAGGGUGGCUGCUGGAUCUCUUGUUACAGAGUCAGCAGAAUUAGUAGCGUCUGACAUGGACUUUGGUGUGGCUACUGUAAACUGUACUACAGUAACCCAGAGAUGGCUCAGUAUCUAUUUACACCGCGGCUCCUGUUGGAACACAUGACCCUCCUGUACCAACAAAACAUGAGAAAGGACUGAGGAAUGCAGGAGCGAGAGGCCAGUCAGGAGAGGACAGCUGCAUGUGUUUAAGCAUGGAAAAGGCAUGUCAUGUUGAAUAGCCUGGGACCAAAGACAGACCCUGGGAGAAGAGACAGCAGUCUGCGCUGAAACUGAACCUUGCAUACCACACAUGCUUCAGGGGCACGAUAGCUUUCUUUACAACAUGCAGUAAAAACUGCCUGGAAGUGAUGCAGUGAAGCAGCUGAACAUUCUUGUUUUUCUCAAACUUGUUGGAUCAUUUAGGUCAAAAUAGGUUUGUUUUGGGAAGCUGCAUUUUAAAUAUAUCAAAUA